This 468-nucleotide ribosomal RNA is filed under the name uncultured bacterium. RNAcentral describes it as "partial 16S ribosomal RNA". It matches the Rfam family "Bacterial small subunit ribosomal RNA", at positions 28 to 507 of the family's 1533-position model. The record is from RNAcentral.
GACGAACGCUGGCGGCGUGCUUAACACAUGCAAGUCGAACGGAAAGGCCCUGCUUUUGUGGGGUGCUCGAGUGGCGAACGGGUGAGUAACACGUGAGUAACCUGCCCUUGACUUUGGGAUAACUUCAGGAAACUGGGGCUAAUACCGGAUAGGAGCUCCUGCUGCAUGGUGGGGGUUGGAAAGUUUCGGCGGUUGGGGAUGGACUCGCGGCUUAUCAGCUUGUUGGUGGGGUAGGGGCUUACCAAGGCUUUGACGGGUAGCCGGCCUGAGAGGGUGACCGGCCACAUUGGGACUACGAGACGGCCCAGACUCCUACGGGGGGCAGCAGUGGGGAAUAUUGUACAAUGGGCCGAAGCCGGAUGCGGCAACGCCGCGGGCGGGAUGACGGCCUUCGGGUUGUAAACCGCUUUCGCCUGUGACGAAGCGUGAGUGACGGUAAUGGGUAAAGAAGCACCGGCUAACUACGUG